This 8995-nucleotide long non-coding RNA is filed under the name Erythranthe guttata (spotted monkey flower). RNAcentral's name for it is "long non-coding RNA (EGUT_LNC001951)". The record is from RNAcentral. Lineage: Eukaryota; Viridiplantae; Streptophyta; Magnoliopsida; Lamiales; Phrymaceae.
AUGCUGAAAUCAAUGGAUUCAUUCAAAGAUCUCCAAUGCCAGAGGCCGCCUCACGAACCUCCGCCGCAAAGGUAUUUUCCCUAAUUCCAAAAUAAAGUUUUUUUCGAUUAGAUUGCAUGCAAAGUUGAUUUGAGUAUAAAAUUUAUUGUUCUAGAGAUGAUAGGUUUAAUUUGGAGAAACAAAUUUAAGAUAUUCUUUGUUCUCCAUGUUUGGUUUGUAUGGCAAAUUUAUGUUUUUCGUACUGCAUUGAUUUGCAUUGAUUCAGAUUUUUAUGAAUCAAACAUUUAUGUACACUAGACUUUGAUUCAUAUCCUUUUUUUUUAAUCAAACAUUUAUAUACGUUAAGAUAUUUUGUAUUUCUCUCUUUGAUUCAUAAAAAAAAAAGAUCGUUGAUUCAGAUCUGCGUCGCAUUACGCUUCUUUUUCUCUUUGAAACCUUUAAAACGAUAUUACUUUGUUUUGGGGGUGCUGAGAUUUAACUAGAUCUCGGUAUCUGAAUUUUGUAAUUUUGGUUUUUUUUUACUGAAUGUUUGUUUAAUCCUAUAUUUAAUUGGAGGAUUAAGAUAUAUUACUAUUUUACCUUAUUUUUUACAGUAAGAUUAUUUUUGAAUAUAACCAUUUCGAUUUCUCCGUGUAACUAUGUAACCACAUGCCAAAUGAACAUUUCUUUGGUAGUUGUUGUUAUAAAGUUAGAUAUGAUCAAAGUUUACUAACUAUCUCUUUUCUUUUUAUUUUGUUGUUGAUAGAGAGAUGUAGAUUCAUCAGAGAUGCAUUUCGAACAAUAUUCGUAACGUCAGCGGCAUAAUGGUAAGAAAUAUUUUCUAACAAAGUUAACUUUUUUCUCGCACAAUGUUUCUCAAAAUAUGUAUCACGAUAAACGAAGUUUAUGAAUUUCCUCUCAUGUUUCUUUUGUUAUUGACUAACCAAUGAAGUUUUACCGGAGGGUAGAGGCAGCAUGAACAUCUUAACAGUGUUCUCGUGAGCGACGCAACAAUGGUAAAACGAAUCUUCUUGAGCAACUCUCUUUGGAAAGUAUAAAUCAUGUUUGGUACAAGUUAUUUAUGAACAAAACUUAAUUUAUUUAUGAUGAACUAUUUUCCUUGUUUUGUACGAUGUAGAAGUCAAUUAUGAUUUGAGUUAAUGAACUUUCGAUUUUAUUCUUAUUUUAUUGUUGAAUGAUGAAAGAGGUGUACCAAAUAAGCAUAUCUAGAAGUAUAUAUAUAUAUAUAUAUAUAUAUAUAUAUAUAUAAAUUGUGCUCACAAGGGUAGAACCAAUCUCACUUAUAUGGAACUUUGACUAGUUAAUUUUUUUCUCGCAUUAUGGUUACAAGGUCAAUACUAAUUCAAAAAACGUUUAUGAAAACUCUCUCAUGUGUCUUUUGACGUUGACCAAUUGAUGAAGUAUGGCAAGUAUUGCUAUCGGAGCAUCUUGAAGAAUUAAUUCUUGUAGAAGGUCCAACUCAGCUUCCUUGAGGCAUUCCACAAAAGGGUAGAAUCGAAUAGAAAAUGUGAUAAUUUACAAACAUUGAUCUCUUCGUAAAAUAGACCUUUUUAUUCUUAUGACUAAUACGAAAAAAAUAAAAAAAUCAUAUCAUUCUUUUUCAAAAAUAGGAAUUUAUUCCAAGAACAAUUGUAAUAUCCCUCUUUGAAUCUGGAUCCAAGGACUCCAAUUUGUUAUCCCUAAUAUGACAUGGCCAACUAAAGAAACAUUAUAAUUUCGCUUGUGACUUAAGUAAAUCCAUUGGACAUAUGCAAAAUUGAUUAUAUAUCCGAUGGUUUGCGUUGAAUCCUACCACAUGGAUGUUGUAGGAUGGCGUUGGGGGGUUUCGAGGAGUCUAUUACGUAUUGGAGCCUUGUGUCGCUUAUUUUUAUUGGAUUUAAUCAACUUUGACAUUUGGUGAAGUGUGAUUGAAUUCUCAGUAUCGUACUUCUUUGAUAGUCUUCUUGCAUUGAAACUAACUACACCUAGUUUCUCUAUAUAACUCAUUCAAUUAUAUUGAGUGUUGUUAUCAAGAUUGCUAGGUGCAAAAAGUUGGUUGCCAUUUCUUUAGUCCGAGGCGCAAGCCGCUAGCCAAGAUGCUAGCGGUAGCCGAAUGAGGCGCAACAUUAUAUAUUUUAUGGUCUAUAUAGGUAGAAAUUAUUCGCUUCAGUCUCUUUGGUUGUCCAUUGUUUUUUUUCUAGCUAUAGUAGCUUCUCUCUUGUUCUUCAUAUUUGCUAUAUCAGUCACAUCACCAAUGUUUCUUGAUUAGAUAUUGUAACUAGUCUAUUUGGUUUAGAUUUUGGCAUUGAUACCGACCAAAUAGAACAAGAUGAUUUGUCUCGAGUGUUUAGCCCAGGAUGUAACUACAUAUGGAUAAACCUUGGAUAGAGGGCGCACCAUAAAAUCCAUGGAAACGGCUUCAGGCCUGGAUGCAUACUGCAUAGGUGAUGACAGUCCAGAUUUAUAGCCCCUUCAAGUUGGAAAAAAACAUAAACAUUGGAUGGGGACCGCACCAAAAAAUCCAUGGAAAUUACUUCAGGCCUGGAUGCAUACCGCCUAUUUGACGUAUGUCUAGAGUUUUGACCGUUCAAGUAGAAAAAUAAAAUAAACUUUGGAAGGAGGCGCACCACAAAAUGUAUAGAAAAUUCUUUAGGUCUGGAUGCAUCCAACCCUUGAACUCGACAAACAAAAAUAAAUAUUUGGAAAUAGGGAGCACCAUAAAAUCCAUCGCAAUUGCUUCAGGCUUGGAUGCAUAUGAUGACUGUCCAGAUAUUUGGCCCAUUAAAGUCAGUAAACAUAGUCAACUUCGGAAGGAGGGCGUACUACAAGAUCCACGGAAACUCGUUGAGGCACGGAACAUACUGUUUACAUGACGACUAGCCAAAUUUUAUUCAAGGGGUCGAACUGAAUAAACUUUGCAUUAAAACUACUUAAGAUCGGGAUGCCUAUUGUUUAGAUAUUCAUUCUUUCGAAAAUUAUUGGAUUUUACUAAGAGAAACAUUAUAUCGUGUAGUAAAAAGUAAGAGAAAUUCAUGUUCAUGUUGUCCAACCACAUAGUUUACAAAUGAUAAUACUAUUUAUAUUUUCUAAAUACAUAAUUAAUUUGAAAUAGAAAAAGCAAGAGAAAUUCAUGUUUCAUGUUUCCUAACCACACAUCUUACUUCUCAUAUUUUACUAUUAGGUUACUUUUUCACGUGCAUCAAAUGCGAAUAUUACCUUAUGUACCAAGAAAAAGAUUAUUCAUUUUUCCUUUUCCAUCCCUUACCAUCGACGCCACUACAAAGAAUCGAAAUCAAAUACAACAAGAUCUCCUAAAAUUAUUAAUUAAAACUAAAAUUUAAUAGGGUAAUUAAUUUUUCGGUAUGUAAUAAUAACGCAUGGCCAUUAGGCUGAGUAAGAAUACAAAUGUAUUUAACAUUCUUUUUGAUUGUACAAUAAAUUUGUGUACACGGUUCACCCUUAUAGUUUGAGAUAGUUUAUAUGCGUCCAAUUUGAAUAUUUUUGAAGAUAAAUAUACAUAUAUUAAAUAUGUUAGUAUUGGAUAAAUCAGCUAACCGGAGUCUCAUAAUUCAGUUUUGUUAAACAAGGAGUACUUAAGAAUGGUGUAUCCCAUCUACUUAUACUUGCUUUACAAUCCGUUAAUUAGAUACCUUGUGCCAUUUAAAAACAAUAUUAAAAAAAAUAUUAAGAAAACAAUACAAUUUGUAUUUGUUAUUUCAAAAUCAAUUUUACAAUAAGAUAAUACUUGGGUUACUGACACACAAAUCCAAAUUACAAAUACAAGCCCAGUGGGCUUUGCAUUUCUCUUAAUGUACCGCCACAUUCCUAGGUUACUACGCCGCUCUCACUAUAUAUAAAGAAAAAACGACUAAAAAAAAUCUCUCCGUCUUUACGCCGACAUAGUGCCCAAAAUGCUGACAUCAAUGGGUUCAUUCAAAGAUCUCCAAUGCCAGAGGCCGCCUCCCGAACCUCCGCCGCAAAGGUAUUUUCCCUAAUUCCAAAAUAAAGUUUUUUUCGAUUAGAUUGCAUGCAAAGUUGAUUUGAGUAUAAGAUUUAUUGUUCUAGAUAUGAUAGGUUUAAUUUGGAGAAACAAAUUUAAGAUAUUCUUUGUUCUCCAUGUUUGGUUUGUAUGGCAAAUUUAUGUUUUUCGUACUGCAUUGAUUUGCAUUGAUUCAGAUUUUUAUGAAUCAAACAUUUAUGUACACUAGACUUUGAUUCAUAUCCUUUUUUUUAAUCAAACAUUUCUAUACAUUAAGAAAUUUUGUAUUUCUCUCUUUGAUUCAUAAAAAAAAAAGAUCUAUGAUUCAGAUCUGCGUCGCAUUAAGCUUCUUUUUCUCUUUGAAACCUUUAAAACGAUAUUACUUUGUUUUGGGGGUGCUGAGAUUUAACUAGAUCUCGCUAUCUGAAUUUUGUAAUUUUUGUUUUUUUUUUACUGAAUGUUUGUUUAAUCCUAUAUUUAAUUGGAGGAUUAAGAUAUAUUACUAUUUUACCUUAUUCUUUACCAUAAGAUUAUUUUUGAAUAUAACCAUUUUGAUUUCUCCGUGUAACUAUGUAACCACAUGCCAAAUGAACAUUUCUUUGAUAGUUGUUGUUAUAAAGUUAGAUAUGAUCAAAGUUUACUAACUAUCUCUUUUCUUUUUAUUUUGUUGUUGAUAGAGAGAUGUAGAUUCAUCAGAGAAUCAUUUCGAACAAUAUUCGUAACGUCAGCGGCAUAAUUGUAAGAAAUAUUUUCUAACAAAGUUAACUUUUUUCUCGCACAAUGUUUUUCAAAAUAUGUAUCACGAUAAACGAAGUUUAUGAAUUUCCUCUCAUGUUCCUUUUGUUAUUGACUAACCAAUGAAGUUUUACCGGAGGGUGGAGGCAGCAUGAACAUCUUAACAGUGUUCUCGUGAGCGACGCAACAAUGGUAAAACGAAUCUUCCUGAGCAACUCUCUUUGGAAAGUAUAAAUCGUGUUUGGUACAAGUUAUUUAUGAACAAAACUUAAUUUAUUUUUGAUGCACUAUUUUCCAUGUUUUUUACGAUGUAGAAGUCAAUUAUGAUUUGAGUUAAUGAACUUUCGAUUUUAUUUUUAUUUUAUUGUUGAAUGAUGAAAGAGGUGUACCAAAUAAGCAUAUCUAGAAGUAUAUAUAUAUAUAUAUAUAUAUAUAUAUAUAUAUAUAUAUAUAUAUAUAUAUAUAUAUAAAUUGUGCUCACAAGGGUAGAACCAAUCUCACUUAUAUGGAACUUUGACUAGUUAAUUUUUUUCUCGCAUUAUGGUUACAAGGUCAAUACUAAUUAAAAAAAAUGUUUAUGAAAACUCUCUCAUGUGUCUUUUGCCGUUGACCAAUUGAUGAAGUAUGGCAAGUAUUGCUAUCGGAGCAUCUUUAAGAAUUUAUUCUUGUAAAAGGUCCAACUCAGCUUCCUUGAGGCAUUCCACAAAAGAGUAGAAUCGAAUAGAAAAUGUGAUAAUUUACAAACAUUGCUCUCUUCGUAAAAUAGACCUUCUUAUUCUAAUGACUAAUACGAAAAAAAUAAAAAAAUCAUAUCCUUCUUUGUCAAAAAUAGGAAUUUAUUCCAAGAAUAUUUGUAAUAUUCCUCUUUGAAUCUGGAUCCAAGGACUCCAAUUUUUAUCCCUAAUAUGACAUGGCCAACUAAAGAAACAUUCUAAUUUUGCUUGUGACUUAAGUAAAUCCAUUGGAAAUAUGCAAAAUUGAUUAUAUAUCCGAUGGUUUGCGUUGAAUCCUACCACAUGGAUGUUGUAGGAUGGCGUUGGGGGCUUUGGAGGAGUCUAUUACGUAUUGGAGCCUUGUGUCGCUUAUUUUUAUUGGAUUUAAUCAACUUUGACAUUUGGUUAAGUGUGAUUGAAUUCUCAGUAUCGUACUUCGCUGAUAGUCUUCUUGCAUUGAAACUAACUACACCUAGUUUCUCCAUAUAACUCAUUCAAUUAUAUUGAGUGUUGUUAUCAAGAUUGCUAGGUGCAAAAAGUUGGUUGCCAUUCCUUUAGCCCGAGGCGCAAGCCGCUAGCCUAGAUGCUAGUGGUAGCCGAAUGAGGCGCAACAUUAUAUAUUUUAUGGUCUAUAUAGGUAGAAACUAUUCGCUUCAGUCUCUUUGGUUGUCCAUUGUUUUUUUUCUAGCUAUAGUAGCUUCUCUCUUGUUCUUCAUAUUUGCUAUAUCAGUCACAUCACCUAUGUUUCUUGAUUAGAUGUUGUAACUAGUCUAUUUGGUUUAGAUUUUGGCAUUGAUACCGACCAAAUAGAACAAGAUGAUUUGUCAAGAGUAUUUAGCCCGGGAUGUAACUACAUAUGGAUAAACCUUGGAUAGAGGGCGCACCAUAAAUCCAUGGAAACGACUUCAGGCCUGGAUGCAUACUGCAUAGGUGAUGACAGUCCAGAUUUAUAGCCCCUUGAAGUAGGAAAAAAACAUAAACAUUAGAUGCGGACCGCACGAAAAAAUCCAUGGAAAUUACUUCAGGCCUGGAUGCAUAACGCCUAUUUGACGUCGGUCCAGAUUUUUGACCGUUCAAGUAGAAAAAUAAAAUAAACUUUGGAUGGAGGCGCACCACAAAAUGUAUAGAAAAUUCUUUAGGUCUGGAUGCAUCCAACCCUUGAACUCGACAAACAAAAAUAAAUAUUUGGAAGUAGGGAGCACCAUAAAAUCCAUUGCAAUUGCUUCAGGCCUGGAUGCAUAUGAUGACUCUCCAGAUAUUUGGCCCAUUAAAGUCAGCAAACAUAGUCAACUUCGGAAGGAGGGCAUACUACAAGAUCCACAGAAACUUGUUGAGGCAUGGAACAUACUGUUUACAUGACGACUAGCCAAAUUUUAUUCAAGGGGUCGAACUGAAUAAAAUUUGCAUUAAAACUACUUAAGAUCGGGAUGCCUAUUGUUUAGAUAUUCAUUCUUUCGAAAAUUAUUGGAUUUUACUAAGAGAAACAUUAUAUCGUGUUGUAAAAAGUAAGAGAAAUUCAUGUUCAUGGUGUCCAAGCACAUAGUUUACAAAUGAUAAUAACAUGAUUUUUAUAUUUUCUAAAUACAUAAUUAAUUUAAAAUAGAAAAAGUAAGAGAAAUUCAUGUUUCAUGUUUCCUAACCACGCAUCUUACCUCUCAUAUUUUACUAUUAGGUUACUUUUUCACGUGCAUCAAAUGCAAAUAUUACCUUAUGUACCAAGAAAAAAGUUAUUCUUUUUUCCUUCUCCAGCCCUUACCAUCGACGCCACUAGAAAGAAUCAAAAUCAAAUACAACAAGAUCUCCUAAAAUUAUUAAUUAAAACUAACAUUUAAUAGGAUAAUUAAUUUUUCGGUAUGUAAGAAUAACACAUGGCCAUUAGGCUGAGUAAGAAUACAAAUGUAUUUAACAUUUUUUUUUAUUGUACAAUAAAUUUGUGUACACGGUUCACCCUUAUAGUUUGAGAUAGUUGAUAUGCGUCCAAUUUGAAUAUUUUUUGAAGAUAAAUAUACAUAUAUUAAAUAUGUCAAUAUUGUAUAAAUCAGCUAACCGGAGUCUCAUAAUUAAGUUUUGUUAAACAAGGAGUACUUAAGGAUGGUGUAUCCCAUCUACUUAUAUUUGCUUUACAAUCCGUUAAUUAGAUACCUUGUGCCAUUUAAAAACAAUAUUAAAAAAAUAUAUUAAGAAAACAAUACAAUUUGCAUUUGUUAUUUCAAAAUCAAUUUUACAAUAAGAUAAUACUUGGGUUACUGACACACAAAUCCAAAUCACAAAUACAAGCCCAGUGGGCUUUGCAUUUCUCUUAAUGUACCGCCACAUUCCUAGGUUACUACGCCACUCUCACUAUAUAUAAAGAAAAAACAACUAAAAAAAAUCUCUCCGUCUCUACGCCGUCAUAGUGCCCAAAAUGCUGACAUCAAUGGAUUCAUUCAAAGAUCUCCAAUGCCAGAGGCCGCCUCCCGAACCUCCGCCGCAAAGGUAUUUUCCCUAAUUCCAAAAUAAAGUUUUUUUCGAUUAGAUUGCAUGCAAAGUUGAUUUGAGUAUAAAAUUUAUUGUUCUAGAGAUGAUAGGUUUAAUUUUGAGAAACAAAUUUAAGAUAUUCUUUGUUCUCCAUGUUUGGUUUGUAUGGCAAAUUUAUGUUUUUCGUACUGCAUUGAUUUGCAUUGAUUCGGAUUUUUAUGAAUCAAACAUUUAUGUACACUAGACUCUAAUUCAUAUCCUUUUUUUUAAUCAAACAUUUAUAUACGUUAAGAUAUUUUGUAUUUAUCUCUUUGACUGAUAAAAAAAAAGAUCGUUGAUUCAGAUCUGCGUCGCAUUAAGCUUCUUUUUCUUUUUGCAACCUUUAAAACGAUGUUACUUUGUUUUGGGGGUGCUGAGAUUUAACUAGAUCUCGGUAUCUGAAUUUUGUAAUUUUUGUUUUUUUUUUACUGAAUGUUUGAUUAAUCCUAUAUUUAAUUGGAGGAUUAAGAUAUAUUACUAUUUUACCUUAUUUUCUACCGUAAGAUUAUUUUUGAAUAUAACCAUUUCGAUUUCUCCGUGUAACUAUGUAACCACAUGCCAAAUGAACAUUUCUUUGGUAGUUGUUGUUAUAAAGUUAGAUAUGAUCAAAGUUUACUAACUAUCUCUUUUCUUUUUAUUUUGUUGUUGACAGAGAGAUGUAGAUUCAUCAGAGAAGCAUUUCGAACAAUAUUCGUAACGUCAGCGGCAUAAUGGUAGGAAAUAUUUUCUAACAAAGUUAACUUUUUUCUCGCACAAUGUUUCUCAAAAUAUGUAUCACGAUAAACGAAGUUUAUAAAUUUCCUCUCAUGUUUCUUUUGUUAUUGACUAACCAAUGAAGUUUUACCGGAGGGUGGAGGCAGCAUGAACAUCUUAACAGUGUUCUCGUGAGCGACGCAACAAUGGUAAAACGAAUCUUCUUGAGCAACUCUCUUUGGAAAGUAUAAAUCGUGUUUGGUACAAGUUAUUUAUGAACAAAACUUAAUUUAUUUUUGAUGCACUAUUUUCCUUGUUUUUUACGAUGUAGAAGUCAAUUAUGAUUUGAGUUAAUGAACUUUCGAUUUUAUUUUUAUUUUAUUGUUGAAUGAUGAAAGAG